GGUGCCCAUUAUAUAAGACCGCCUCCUUUCGUUUCACUCACCAUCUCCCCUCAACUCUCCGAUCACAUCUCGAUUUCUCCUCUUCCACACACACACACACACACACACACACUCGCUGCGGAAUUCGUUUUUGGGACAGGGAGCUCUGCAGCGGCAGCGGCAAGAAAAUUAGCAGCGCAGAGCGAUGGAGAGCGUGGAUGAAAAUGGAGGAAGCCGCCUUGUGGUGACCGAGCUGGGCUACAUCAAGGAGCUGGUGAGGCAGCUGGACGUCAACCUGGGAGGUUGCCCCGACCACUGCAAGCGCCUGGCCGCCCAGAUCUUCGCCCUGACCGAGAGAUCCAUCGGCAUGAUCAGGUCCGGGCACUACGACUGCCGGAAGCGCUCCGCCGCCGGCCUCGACUCGCCGCCGUUCUCCGCGACGCCCAGCCCCCUGAGCGACGUUUCCGGCAUGCCUUUCCAUAACAACAAGAAGAGGAAGACAAUGGAGAAACGGAAGCAUCAGGUCAGGGUGAGCUCGGAGGGAGGAGGAGCAGAGACCCCAGUCGAUGACGGCCACAGCUGGAGGAAGUACGGCCAGAAGGACAUCCUUGGAGCCAAGCACCCAAGGGGAUACUACCGCUGCACGCACCGCAAAUCCCAGGGAUGCGCGGCGACGAAGCAGGUGCAGCGCGCCGACGAGGACCCGGCGCUCUUCGACGUGAUCUACCACGGCGAGCACACCUGCGUCCAUAAGACGGUGGCGACCGCGGCGGCGGCCAUGGCGCAGCCGGCGGAGGAGAACCCGGACGCGCGUAGGCAUCUGCAGAACCUGAGCACGAGCCUGACGGUGAACACCGAGGGACUCACGGCGACGGCGGGUCAUCAGGGCUGCGGCACCACCACGUCCUUCUGCUUCUCCUCGCAGGCGGCGGGCGUGCUGACGACGCCGCAAGAGCACUACCCGUUCUCCAUGCCGUCGACGCCGGAGAACUGCUUUGGGCAGCGCGCAUCGCUGUCGACGUCCCUUGAACCCUCGCCGGUGACCUCGGAUUCGAACCGCUUCUCCAUGAACCCGUUCCAGGCGGAGUGGAGGGCGCAGUCUGAGUACGACGAGGUGGUAUCCGCGCUCGUCGCUGCGGGGACGAUGCCGGCGCUCGCCAUGGAGAUGGAGGAGGAGACCGCCUUCUCGCUGGACGAGUUUGAGUUUGACGUUUCUAGCUUCCUUGCCUGAGAUGAUGGUCAAAAGAGAAAACCAAAAGAAAAGCAGGAAAAAAAACGGGACUGUACAAUUUAGAUGUAUCACCCGCCGAGCUCUGAUUUUUGGUCAGCGACAGAGGAAGAAUAACAACAAACAAGUUCUUCAUGGGUCAGUGCGGGUGUUUGUGUAAGCUUUAGGAGAUGAUGAGAUUAGUUCCUUUUCUUCAUAUUCUUUUAAUUUAUUUUUAUUCCAGAGAUUUUUCUUCUAUAUACAACUAGUAGUUCCCAACGAGGUAAAAAGUGUAGUGGCAAAAACAAAUUGUAAGCAAUGCAUAUUUCUCCACCAGACUUUUAUUGCCACUUUUUUC
This 1544-nucleotide ribosomal RNA is filed under the name Triticum aestivum (bread wheat). RNAcentral describes it as "partial small subunit ribosomal RNA". The record is from RNAcentral. Lineage: Eukaryota; Viridiplantae; Streptophyta; Magnoliopsida; Poales; Poaceae.